CCUACGGGAGGCAGCAGUAGGGAAUAUUGGGCAAUGGGCGAAAGCCUGACCCAGCAACGCCGCGUGAGUGAUGAAGGCUUUCGAGUCGUAAAACUCUGUCUUUGGGGACGAAUAAUGACGGUACCCAAGGAGGAAGCCCCGGCUAACUACGUGCCAGCAGCCGCGGUAAU
This 170-nucleotide ribosomal RNA is filed under the name uncultured Clostridium sp. Its description in RNAcentral is "partial 16S ribosomal RNA". It matches the Rfam family "Bacterial small subunit ribosomal RNA", at positions 338 to 524 of the family's 1533-position model. The record is from RNAcentral. Lineage: Bacteria; Bacillati; Bacillota; Clostridia; Eubacteriales; Clostridiaceae.